UAGGGAAUUUUCGGCAAUGGGCGAAAGCCUGACCGAGCAAUGCCGCGUGAAUGAUGAAGGUCUUCGGAUUGUAAAGUUCUGUUAUUGGGGAAGAAUGUAUUUAACAGGAAAUGGUUAAGUAAGUGACGGUACUCAAUGAGAAAGCCCCGGCUAACUAUGUGCCAGCAGCCGCGGUAAUACAUAGGGGGCGAGCGUUAUCCGGAAUUAUUGGGCGUAAAGCGUGCGUAGGCGGUUAUUUAAGUCUGGUGUGAAAUCUUAGGGCUUAACCCUGAGUGGUCAUUGGAAACUGGAUAACUUGAGUAUGGCAGAGGUAAAUGGAAUUCCUAGUGUAGCGGUGGAAUGCGUAGAUAUUAGGAGGAACACCAGUGGCGAAGGCGAUUUACUGGGCCAGCACUGACGCUGAGGCACGAAAGCGUGGGGAGCAAACA
RNAcentral lists this ribosomal RNA (428 nucleotides) under uncultured bacterium. RNAcentral's name for it is "partial 16S ribosomal RNA". It matches the Rfam family "Bacterial small subunit ribosomal RNA", at positions 355 to 774 of the family's 1533-position model. The record is from RNAcentral.